GUCCCGGAUGGCGCAGUGGCUACCGCACCUGCCUAGUAAGCAGGAGACCCCGGGUUCGAAUCCCAGUCCGGUACA
This 75-nucleotide transfer RNA is filed under the name Schistocerca americana (American grasshopper). Its description in RNAcentral is "tRNA-Thr". It matches the Rfam family "tRNA". Rfam says of the family: Transfer RNA (tRNA) molecules are approximately 80 nucleotides in length. Their secondary structure includes four short double-helical elements and three loops (D, anti-codon, and T loops). Further hydrogen bonds mediate the characteristic L-shaped molecular structure. tRNAs have two regions of fundamental functional importance: the anti-codon, which is responsible for specific mRNA codon recognition, and the 3' end, to which the tRNAs corresponding amino acid is attached (by aminoacyl-tRNA synthetases). tRNAs cope with the degeneracy of the genetic code in two manners: having more than one tRNA (with a specific anti-codon) for a particular amino acid; and 'wobble' base-pairing, i.e. permitting non-standard base-pairing at the 3rd anti-codon position. Lineage: Eukaryota; Metazoa; Arthropoda; Insecta; Orthoptera; Acrididae. RNAcentral also lists the same sequence under 2 other names. The record is from RNAcentral.